GCCUUCCUAGCUCAGUCGGUAGAGCAUCAGACUUUUAAUCUGAGCGUCGUGGGUUCGAGUCCCACAGAUGGCA
Toxocara canis (dog roundworm) is the source of this 73-nucleotide transfer RNA. It matches the Rfam family "tRNA". From Rfam's summary of the family: Transfer RNA (tRNA) molecules are approximately 80 nucleotides in length. Their secondary structure includes four short double-helical elements and three loops (D, anti-codon, and T loops). Further hydrogen bonds mediate the characteristic L-shaped molecular structure. tRNAs have two regions of fundamental functional importance: the anti-codon, which is responsible for specific mRNA codon recognition, and the 3' end, to which the tRNAs corresponding amino acid is attached (by aminoacyl-tRNA synthetases). tRNAs cope with the degeneracy of the genetic code in two manners: having more than one tRNA (with a specific anti-codon) for a particular amino acid; and 'wobble' base-pairing, i.e. permitting non-standard base-pairing at the 3rd anti-codon position. The record is from Rfam. Lineage: Eukaryota; Metazoa; Nematoda; Chromadorea; Rhabditida; Toxocaridae.